CUAACAACCCCUACAAUAAUAUUGAGUUUUUGGUAAAUUCUUUAUAUACUGAAGCCCAAAAUCUUUAGUGUUGUUUUAAAAUUUCUACCAUAAUAUUGAGUUUUUGGUAAAUUCUUUAUAUACAGAAGCCUAUAAUCUUUAAUGUUGUUUAAAAAUUUCUAACCAUAUUCUAAAUUUGUAUUAAUGUAUACUAAACUCAUUUUCAUGGUAAAUGAGCAUCGUUCAAUUGUUUUUAUCAAUUAUUUAAUAAAACUUCAUAACACUCCCUAAAUCGAUGGAAUAACCACUAUAAAAUUAUUAUUUUCUUGAUAAACGGAGACGACAAAGGCUCCAAACCUCUUUGAACAUCAUCAUAUGUUAGUGAAUGAUGCAUUUAGGCAUUAAAAAAAUAUUAUCAUAUUUUUUGAAAUUUUUUCAAAAUCUAUGGGCUAACACCUACAAAAAUAUUGAGUUUUUGGUAAAUUCGUUAUAUAAUGAAGCCCAUAAUCUUUAGUGUUGUUUUAAAAUUUCUAUCAUAUUCUACAUUUGUAUUAAUGUAUGCUAAACUCUUUUUAAUGGUAAAUGAGCAUCGUUCAAUUGUUUUUAUCAAUUAAUUUAGUAAAACUUCAUAACACUCCCUAAAUCAAUGGAUUAACCAUUAUAAAAUUAUUAUUUUCUUGAUAAAUGGAGACGACAAAGUCUCCAAACCUCUUUGAACAUCA
RNAcentral lists this long non-coding RNA (701 nucleotides) under Brassica napus (rape). RNAcentral describes it as "long non-coding RNA (BNAP_LNC000854)". The record is from RNAcentral. Lineage: Eukaryota; Viridiplantae; Streptophyta; Magnoliopsida; Brassicales; Brassicaceae.